Sus scrofa (pig) is the source of this 935-nucleotide non-coding RNA. Lineage: Eukaryota; Metazoa; Chordata; Mammalia; Artiodactyla; Suidae. The record is from RefSeq and is a predicted model, not a curated record.
CCAUUUUGCUGAAGUUGGUUGGGUUCUGUCACUUAUCCCCCAAAGGGCCUUGCUUUGAGGAGCUUAAGGGUGGGGCAAGCUCCAGGAACAUCACACUGCAUCCUCCCCACCUCCACCUCCAACACAUUUCUCUGUUGAUCUGUGUAGAUGUAGUAUUGGCCGGAUGGAGAGACCUCCCCUUCCCUUGGCAGAUUCUCUGACUCUGCACAACCUCCAACUGAAACCUUGGGUAAUGAGUCAAAUCCAUUUUACCUGCCUUCACUAAUCAAGGACUUGCAUGUCCUAAACAAUAAGAUGUCUGAACGAGUUGUUUUCCAGGAGCUUGGAGUCAGCUGUGUCUCGUUCCAGCUGAGCCCGCUGAGAUUGGACAGGACCACCGGGCAGGCGUGAGUGUUCCCUUGCCGACCUUUUGACGUCAGUGGGUCCAAGACUCCACCCUCAGAUCGUGGUAAGUGCCUGCACUUUGUAACAUACAGAGGCCCGUAGCUUGGUUGCACCUGUGCAGAACCACCAUGACUGCACCUUUUCUCAAUUGCCUUUCCCCACGCUCCCCACGCGGCCACCGCCCUGCUGCUUUAUUCUCAAUCCCAUAAAUACCCCAAACUCCUCCCCUUCAGGGAAGCAGAUCUGAGAUGUGUUUGCUUGCCUCCGUGCUUUGCUGCGAACCUCAGAGUCUCAGCGUUCUGGCUUGCAGUGUGUUGGGCAAAACGGAGCUGGUUCGGUGACAGCCCCACCCUCCAGGAGUACCCAAGCAACCAGAAUGAACGAUCCACGGCUACGGGGCAGCCACGUCGAUGAAACGUGUGAACCUCGUGUCGAGCAAAAGAAGCCGAGUUCCAAAAGGUCAUCUAUCAAACUAAAGUUCUUUAAAACACGCAUUUCCUACAACGGGCCAAAAUACAAACGCUUACCCCAGAGAUCAGGAGACUGAAGAU